CAGCAGCCGCGGUAAAACGUAGGUGGCAAGCGUUGUCCGGAAUUAUUGGGCGUAAAGGGCUCGCAGGCGGUUUCUUAAGUCUGAUGUGAAAGCCCCCGGCUCAACCGGGGAGGGUCAUUGGAAACCGGGAAACUUGAGUGCAGAAGAGGAGAGUGGAAUUCCACGUGUAGCGGUGAAAUGCGUAGAGAUGUGGAGGAACACCAGUGGCGAAGGCGACUCUCUGGUCUGUAACUGACGCUGAGGAGCGAAAGCGUGGGGAGCGAACAGGAUUAGAUACCCCCGUAGUCCCUGUCUCUUAUAC
Molecule: ribosomal RNA, 301 nt
Filed under: uncultured bacterium
Lineage: Bacteria
Description: partial 16S ribosomal RNA
Rfam family: Bacterial small subunit ribosomal RNA
Source: RNAcentral